AUGAUGUAUAGCCCAGCAUUGAUGUGUAUGAGCAAGUCAAUCUGUCCGAGUGCUAUAGCAUCAUGGGAGCCUCCACCAGAAAUUGUGUCAAGAUGGCUCUCCGAUUGCCCCGGGCCGCUAGGGGCUGAGCUUGCUGCAUGUGAAGAGGGACUUAAGUUGGCACUACACUCAUCACAAAAACCAAUACUGGUGGAGACUGAUUGCGCUGAAAUCUUGUCCUUAGUGAAUGCAGGGUCACUUGAUCAUUCGAGGAACAUGUACCAGGUGGCUAUAAUAGCAGAACUGUUGAAGAAGAGGCAAGCUAAAAUUAGGAAAAUCAAGAGAACAAAGAACCAGACCGGGUAG
Molecule: ribosomal RNA, 345 nt
Filed under: Triticum aestivum (bread wheat)
Lineage: Eukaryota; Viridiplantae; Streptophyta; Magnoliopsida; Poales; Poaceae
Description: partial small subunit ribosomal RNA
Source: RNAcentral